This 65-nucleotide transfer RNA is filed under the name Lachnospiraceae bacterium. Its description in RNAcentral is "tRNA-Gly". It matches the Rfam family "tRNA". Rfam says of the family: Transfer RNA (tRNA) molecules are approximately 80 nucleotides in length. Their secondary structure includes four short double-helical elements and three loops (D, anti-codon, and T loops). The record is from RNAcentral. Lineage: Bacteria; Bacillati; Bacillota; Clostridia; Lachnospirales; Lachnospiraceae.
CGAGUGGCUCAGCGGUGGAGCACCACCUUGCCAAGGUGGGGGUCGCGGGUUCGAUCCCCGUCUCG